This is a long non-coding RNA of Astatotilapia calliptera (eastern happy), 618 nucleotides long. NCBI's taxonomy places the organism in Eukaryota, Metazoa, Chordata, Actinopteri, Cichliformes, Cichlidae. The record is from Ensembl.
UUAAAUCCCACAACAAUCGUAAAAAGUUUUUGUCCUGUUGCGGGCUUUUGCUCCUCAGACAGACAGCGCAGCGGCGUGUGUUGGACCAAUUAACGGGCCCGUCUGUGCGCUGCCCCGCGGAGCGUGCUUUCCUGGGCGGCCUCUGCGCACUCUGCCAGGACAGUCAGCUGCAGCUGCAGAACAUAAAGCACGCAUAGCACGGCACGGACACGAUCAGGUCCAAAAUGGGUCCGACUUGGGCGCUAAUCUGUUCCACCGCUUUGCUCUUGGUUUUACUGAGCUCAGCAUCCGAAGAUGAGCGCUUCUUUGAGCAGCGCGAGGUCACCUUUGACAUUCCCCAACUGAUGCAAGAGAUGCAGAAAGAGAUGGACUUGAGAGAUCACUUUGAUUCACAGCGGCCAGCGCAGCCUCAACCAAGGCAGAGAGGUGAGCAGAUAUUCACAGUAGUGUGCAACACCAUGAAAUGUCUUUAAGUAGUCUUCGGGAAUACUUUUCCAGGCUUCUUAAAAGCACACUCAAAGCUUUUCUUUGUAUUUUGGCUGCCUUUGGUCCAUUCUCUGUUAAGAGUUUCUUCCAAUUCUUUAAGGACACACCGCACACCAUGCUGAGAUAUGUCUC